This 256-nucleotide ribosomal RNA is filed under the name uncultured bacterium. Its description in RNAcentral is "partial 16S ribosomal RNA". It matches the Rfam family "Bacterial small subunit ribosomal RNA", at positions 524 to 776 of the family's 1533-position model. The record is from RNAcentral.
UACGUAGGGACCAAGCGUUGUUCGGAUUUACUGGGCGUAAAGGGCGCGUAGGCGGCGUGUUAAGUCAGCUGUGAAAUCUCCAGCUUAACUUGGAACGGUCAGCUGAUACUGAUGUGCUAGAGUGCAGAAGGGGCAAUCGGGAAUUCUUGGUGUAGCGGUGAAAUGCGUAGAUAUCAAGAGGAACACCUGAGGUGAAGACGGGUUGCUGGGCUGACACGUGACGCUGGAGGCGACGAAAGCUAGGGUAGCAAACGGG